RNAcentral lists this RNase P RNA (235 nucleotides) under Paracoccaceae bacterium. Its description in RNAcentral is "Rhodobacteraceae bacterium (hydrothermal vent metagenome) partial RNase P RNA component class A". It matches the Rfam family "Bacterial RNase P class A", at positions 1 to 242 of the family's 367-position model. Rfam says of the family: Ribonuclease P (RNase P) is a ubiquitous endoribonuclease, found in archaea, bacteria and eukarya as well as chloroplasts and mitochondria. Lineage: Bacteria; Pseudomonadati; Pseudomonadota; Alphaproteobacteria; Rhodobacterales; Paracoccaceae. The record is from RNAcentral.
GCGGAUGGCUGGAUGACCGCGCGGCCCUGUGCCGCGAGGAAAGUCCGGACUCCACAAAACGACGGUGCCGGGUAACGCCCGGCCGGGGAAACCCGAGGGAAAGCGCCACAGAAAACAGACCGCCCCGGACCUGAUCCGGGGUAAGGGUGAAACGGCGGUGUAAGAGACCACCGCGCUGUUGGCAACAACAGUGGCACGGCAAGCCCCACCGGGAGCAAUGCCAAAUAGGGACCGC